UACAGAGGGUGCAAGCGUUAAUCGGAAUUACUGGGCGUAAAGCGUGCGUAGACGGUUACAUAAGUCGGGUGUGAAAGCCCCGGGCUCAACCUGGGAAUUGCAUUCGAGACUGCGUAGCUAGGGUGCGGAAGAGGGAAGCGGAAUUCUCGGUGUAGCGGUGAAAUGCGUAGAUAUCGUAAGGAAGACCAGUGGCGAAGGCGGGUCUCUGGACAGUUCCUGACGCUGAGGCACGAAGGCCAGGGGAGCAAACGGG
Molecule: ribosomal RNA, 253 nt
Filed under: uncultured bacterium
Lineage: Bacteria
Description: partial 16S ribosomal RNA
Rfam family: Bacterial small subunit ribosomal RNA
Source: RNAcentral